UGCAGUCGAACGAUGAUCUCCCGCUUGCGGGGGUGAUUAGUGGCGAACGGGUGAGUAAUACGUGAGUAACCUGCCCUUGACUCUGGGAUAAGCCUGGGAAACCGGGUCUAAUACUGGAUACUACUCCUUAUCGCAUGGUGGGGGGUGGAAAGGGUUUUACUGGUUUUGGAUGGGCUCACGGCCUAUCAGCUUGUUGGUGGGGUAAUGGCUCACCAAGGCGACGACGGGUAGCCGGCCUGAGAGGGUGACCGGCCACACUGGGACUGAGACACGGCCCAGACUCCUACGGGAGGCAGCAGUGGGGAAUAUUGCACAAUGGGCGGAAGCCUGAUGCAGCGACGCCGCGUGAGGGAUGACGGCCUUCGGGUUGUAAACCUCUUUCAGCAGGGAAGAAGCCACAAGUGACGGUACCUGCAGAAGAAGCGCCGGCUAACUACGUGCCAGCAGCCGCGGUAAUACGUAGGGCGCAAGCMUUGUCCGGAAUUAUUGGGCGUAACG
Molecule: ribosomal RNA, 498 nt
Filed under: actinobacterium CR41
Lineage: Bacteria; Bacillati; Actinomycetota; Actinomycetes
Description: bacterial SSU rRNA
Rfam family: Bacterial small subunit ribosomal RNA
Source: RNAcentral